RNAcentral lists this ribosomal RNA (495 nucleotides) under uncultured bacterium. RNAcentral's name for it is "partial 16S ribosomal RNA". It matches the Rfam family "Bacterial small subunit ribosomal RNA", at positions 28 to 507 of the family's 1533-position model. The record is from RNAcentral.
GACGAACGCUGGCGGCGUGCCUAAUACAUGCAAGUAGAACGCUGAAGGAGGAGCUUGCUUCUCUGGAUGAGUUGCGAACGGGUGAGUAACGCGUAGGUAACCUGCCUGGUAGCGGGGGAUAACUAUUGGAAACGAUAGCUAAUACCGCAUAAUAGUAGAUGUUGCAUGACAUUUGCUUAAAAGGUGCAAUUGCAUCACUACCAGAUGGACCUGCGUUGUAUUAGCUAGUUGGUGAGGUAACGGCUCACCAAGGCAACGAUACAUAGCCGACCUGAGAGGGUGAUAGGCCACACUGGGACUGAGACACGGCCCAGACUCCUACGGGAGGCAGCAGUAGGGAAUCUUCGGCAAUGGACGGAAGUAUGACCGAGCAACGCCGCGUGAGUGAAGAAGGUUUUCGGAUCGUAAAGCUCUGUUGUAAGAGAAGAACGAGUGUGAGAGUGGAAAGUUCACACUGUGACGGUAUCUUACCAGAAAGGGACGGCUAACUACGUG